UCCAGACUCCUACGGGAGGCAGCAGUGGGGGAUAUUGCACAAUGGGGGGAACCCUGAUGCAGCGACGCCGCGUGGGUGGAGGAGCGUUUCGGCGCGUAAAGCCCUAUCGGCAGGGAAGAAGGAGGACGGUACCUGACUAAGAAGCCCCGGCUAACUACGUGCCAGCAGCCGCGGUAAUACGUAGGGGGCAAGCGUUAUCCGGAUUUACUGGGUGUAAAGGGGGCGCAGACGGCAGCGCAAGCCAGGAGUGAAAGCCCGGGGCCCAACCCCGGGACUGCUCUUGGAACUGCGCGGCUGGAGUGCAGGAGGGGCAGGCGGAAUUCCUGGUGUAGCGGUGAAAUGCGUAGAUAUCAGGAGGAACACCGGUGGCGAAGGCGGCCUGCUGGACUGCGACUGACGUUGAGGCCCGAAAGCGUGGGGAGCAAACAGGAUUAGAUACCCGAGUAC
Molecule: ribosomal RNA, 447 nt
Filed under: uncultured bacterium
Lineage: Bacteria
Description: partial 16S ribosomal RNA
Rfam family: Bacterial small subunit ribosomal RNA
Source: RNAcentral